Long non-coding RNA from Musa acuminata AAA Group (dessert banana), 1785 nucleotides. RefSeq lists it as uncharacterized. The transcript is spliced from 3 exons. NCBI's taxonomy places the organism in Eukaryota, Viridiplantae, Streptophyta, Magnoliopsida, Zingiberales, Musaceae. The record is from RefSeq and is a predicted model, not a curated record.
UCUCCACCCAACUUGAAACCCUAAUUCUUGUCUCCCAAACUCAUACCUUCUGUACGAAAACACCUGUUUUUGAAGUCUUUCUUACGCGCAUCCGUCUUUUCUUCCGUUUCUACCGCAAUGGAUCGAUUUCUCGCAUCUCAGCUAGCUCGGGACUGUAGAUUUUGCCGAAGAAGCACCCGGUUUGGUGCCAUAAUUGGGAGGAUCGAUAGAUCCUUGCUGGGUUGUGCCUUCGAUCGUUAAAAUCUUGGAAAUAUAAUAUCCAUCCAAUGCCGUUGUCCAAGGCUUGCCAAAGUGGGGCCAUCAUGUGGAAUUGCCUUUGUUCUUGUUUUCUCAUUUUUGCUUGUUGGACAUGGAACUCUAAAGGUAUGAACAUGUCUUCCAUGUUAACAGGUGAGUGCUAACAACUUGAGUUGUGCAGUAGCCAAAUGAAACUGGAGUGAAGUGUUAUUUAGAUUGAUUUUAUGCUAAUUUAACAUAAAUUUGGUUACAUGAUCAUUCUCGUAGUAAAUUAAGUACCAUAAUCUUUUUAUAUUUCUCAAGUGAUGCUGCACAUUUGUAUUACUAUUAUCAGGUUAGCAGUCUAUAUAUUCUCUUUUAUAAUCACUUUUGACAAUUUGUAGGUACUUGUCAUCCAUGAUGAGAAUUACACCGAACUUGUUGAUCUUUUGUCAGGGUUGUGCUGGAGCAAAGAGCAAUCAACAAAUAAAACUUGCAGCACGGAAGGAAUGUAAGAAGUUUGAAGAGUAGUCCAUUCUUAAAACAUGACACAUAUGUUUUCACUUAAUUUUUAUAUAGUUUUAGCCAUUUGUGCAACGCCCAUUGAGUAAAGUUUGACAGCAUGCACUGUGGUUAUUAGAAGCUCACUAGUAUAAUCCAGAAGCUUGGUUUCCCAGCUACCUUUAAGGUAUCUAGUCAUAUAAUCUAGGUUCUUGGUGCUUCCUAUCCUCAUGUCUCUUCCCUAAAUUAUUUCUUUAACUUGUCUACUUUUUCUGUCUAAUUUGUAUUUCAAUGAAUAGGAUUUUAAGAUCCAGAAUAUUCUUAGUUCAUGUGAGGGCCCUGCCUCUUCUCAUGGUGUUUUCUGCAGUGCAAGUUUAUUGAUCUUCUAUGUGCUUGAGAACAAUUUACUUAUGUAUCUCCUCAUGAUGUCUUGUUUUUCCAUUAUUCCAUUUUAAUUCUUAAGCAAAUUGUUUAGUGGUUAAUAUUCUAUUACACUAUUUCCAUUUUGAGCCUAGAGAACCACAUUGGCUUAUCAGUGACUCUAUGCUCAUGCUCAAUUUCUUAUGUUAGUCACAGAGAUUAUAUUUCAUUAGAGUAACUUUGUUAUAUAUGCUUCAAUCUAAUGAAGCAUCAAAGUUCUGGAAGUUUUUCUUGCUGAAAUUAUACAUACCCAUCUGGAACCUAAAACAGCUGCUUUUGUGUACAAACCAGCGAUUUUUCCUGGUUUGAUAUUGCGUAUGAAAAAAUUCAAAGAUGGUACUUUUCAUUUUUGCUUAUGGAAAAAUUGUUCUCACUGGGGCAAAGGUAAUGUUCUUAAAGCAAUUUCAAAUACAUGAGUCAUACAUAUCUCUCUUUUAUUCAUCAUCUUCAAUCCAAUUCAGGUUCAAGAUGAGGCACAUGCUGCAUUUGAGAAUAUACCAGUCCAUACAGAAAUCAGAAAGAACCAGCAAUGAUGAUUCAUAGCUGCUGCCUGGAAUGGAAUUUUCAACUACAACAUAUGUAAAUAUUAAAUGGCACAUCAUCCUUUAUCGGUUAUAUAUGACCUACAGUUUUCUUGCUUUUGAUCUA